This 165-nucleotide ribosomal RNA is filed under the name Eisenbergiella tayi. Its description in RNAcentral is "partial 23S ribosomal RNA". It matches the Rfam family "Bacterial large subunit ribosomal RNA", at positions 2754 to 2925 of the family's 2925-position model. The record is from RNAcentral. Lineage: Bacteria; Bacillati; Bacillota; Clostridia; Lachnospirales; Lachnospiraceae.
UCCGGCAGGGAUAAACGCUGAAGGCAUCUAAGCGUGAAGCCCCCCUCAAGAUGAGAUAUCCCAAUAAGUAAGACCCCUUAGAGAGUAUGAGGUAGAUAGGCUGGAGGUGGAAGUGCAGUAAUGUAUGGAGCUGACCAGUACUAAUCGGUCGAGGGCUUAUCCUGA